GGGACCGUAGCUCAGCUUGGUUAGAGCGCACGGCUGAUAACCGUGAGGUCCGGGGUCCAAAUCCCCGCGGUCCCACCA
This 78-nucleotide transfer RNA is filed under the name Candidatus Odinarchaeum yellowstonii. Its description in RNAcentral is "tRNA-Ile". It matches the Rfam family "tRNA". From Rfam's summary of the family: Transfer RNA (tRNA) molecules are approximately 80 nucleotides in length. Lineage: Archaea; Promethearchaeati; Candidatus Odinarchaeota; Candidatus Odinarchaeia; Candidatus Odinarchaeales; Candidatus Odinarchaeaceae. The record is from RNAcentral.